RNAcentral lists this long non-coding RNA (289 nucleotides) under Mytilus galloprovincialis (Mediterranean mussel). Lineage: Eukaryota; Metazoa; Mollusca; Bivalvia; Mytilida; Mytilidae. The record is from RNAcentral.
GUGUAAUGUUGUCAUUUUAAUGUUAUAAUUAACACUGCCAUUAAAGCAGGAGGUUUGGCAUGCCACAAAACCAGGUUCAACCCACCAUUUUUUUCAUAAAAUGCCCUGUACCAAGUCGGGAAAAUGGCCAUUGUUACAUUAUAGUUCGUUUCUGUGUGUGUUACAUUUCGGUGUUGUGUCUCUGUUGCGUCGUAGUUCUCUUAUAUUUGAUACGUUUCCCUCAGUUUUAGUUUGUAACCCGGAUUUGUUUUUUCUCUAUCGAUUUAUGAAUUUUGAACAGCGGUAUACU